GAUGAACGCUGCCAGAAUGCUUAACGCAUGCAAGUCUUUGGCGAAGCUGUGCUUGCACAGCCUAGCCAAGGCGGACGGGUGAGUAACGCGUAAGGAACUUGCCCUGCAGUCAGGGAUAACAGACGGAAACGACUGAUAAGACCUGGUAAAGUCAGACGGACUCAUGUCCAGCCUGAUGAAAAGAGAUGCUGCAGGAGAGCCUUGCGUCCUAUUAGCUUGUUGGUGGGGUAACGGCCCACCAAGGCGAUGAUAGGUAGCCGGCCUGAGAGGGUGGACGGCCACAAGGGGACUGAGAUACGGCCCUUACUCCUACGGGAGGCAGCAGUGGGGAAUAUUGGACAAUGGGGGCAACCCUGAUCCAGCAAUUCUGUGUGCACGAUGAAGGUUUUCGGAUUGUAAAGUGCUUUCAGCAGGGAAGAAAAAAAUGACGGUACCUGCAGAAGAAGCGACGGCUAAAUACGUG
RNAcentral lists this ribosomal RNA (463 nucleotides) under uncultured bacterium. Its description in RNAcentral is "partial 16S ribosomal RNA". It matches the Rfam family "Bacterial small subunit ribosomal RNA", at positions 28 to 507 of the family's 1533-position model. The record is from RNAcentral.